RNAcentral lists this long non-coding RNA (2595 nucleotides) under Gallus gallus (chicken). RNAcentral's name for it is "lncRNA (ENSGALG00010007012.1)". Lineage: Eukaryota; Metazoa; Chordata; Aves; Galliformes; Phasianidae. The record is from RNAcentral.
UUUCCGUUCUUUCCGUUCUUUCCGUUCUUUCCGUUCUUUCCGUUCUUUCCGUUCUUUCCGUUCUUUCCGUUCUUUCCGUUCUUUCCGUUCUUUCCGUUGUUGUUUUUGAACUGUCACCUAAUUUUCUGCCCUAUGUUUCUUUCUUUGUGGAGGUUCUUUCCGUUCUUUCCGUUCUUUCUGUUGUUGUAUUUGAACUGUCACCUAAUUUUCUGCUCUAUGUUUCUGUCUCUGUGGAGGUACUUUCCGUUCUUUCCGUUCUUUCUGUUGUUGUUUUUGAACUGUCACCUAAUUUUCUGCCCUAAGUUUCUGUCUCUGUGGAGGUACUUUCCGUUCUCUCCGUUCUCUCCGUUCUCUCCGUUCCUUUUGUUGUUUUUGAACUGUCUCCUAAUUUUCUGCCCUAUGUUUCUGUCUCUGUGGAGUUUCUUUCCGUUCUUUCCGUUCUGUCCGUUCUUUCCGUUGUUUCCGUUCUUUCCGUUCUUUUUGUUGUUUUUGAACUGUCACCUAAUUUUCUGCCCUAUGUUUCUGUCUCUGUGGAGGUUCUUUCCGUUCUUUCCGUUCUUUCCGUUGUUGUUUUUGAACUGUCACCUAAUUUUCUGCACUAUGUUUCUGUCUCUGUGGAGGUUCUUUCCGUUCUUUCCGUUCUUUCCGUUCUUUCCGUUCUUUCCAUUCUUUCUGCAGUUGUUUUUGAACAGUCACCUAAUUUUCUGCCCUAUGUUUCUGUCUCUCUGGAGGUUCUUUCCGUUCUUUCCGUUCUUUCUGUUCUUUCCGUUCUUUCCGUUCUUUCCGUUCUUUCCGUUCUUUCUGUUGUUGUUUUUCAACUGUCACCUAAUUUUCUGCCCUAUGUUUCUGUCUCUGUGGAGGUUUUCCGUUCUUUCCGUUCUUUCUGUUCUUUUUCAACUGUAACCUAAUUUUCUGCCCUAUGUUUCUGUCUCUGUGGAGGUUCUUUCCGUUCUUUCCGUUCUGCCCGUUCUUUCCGUUCUUUUUGUUGUUUUUGAACUGUCACCUAAUUUUCUGCCCUAUGUUUCUGUCUCUGUGGAGGUUCUUUCCGUUCUUUCCGUUCUUUCGGUUCUUUCCGUUCUUUCUGUUGUUGUUUUUGAACUGUCACCCAAUUUUCUGCCCUAUGUUUCUGUCUCUGUGGAGGUUCUUUCCGUUCGUUCCGAACUGUCACCUAAUUUUCUGCCCCAUGUUUCUGUCUCUGUGGAGGUUCUUUCCGUUCUUUCCGUUCUUUCUGUAGUUGUUUUUGAACUGUCACCUAAUUUUCUGCCCUAUGUUUCUGUCUCUGUGGAGGUUCUUUCCGUUCUUUCCGUUCUUUCCUAUCUUUCCUAUCUUUCCUGUCUUUCCUAUCUUUCCGUUCUUUCCGUUCUUUCCGUUCUUUCCGUUCUUUCUGUUGUUGUUUUUGAACUGUCACCUUAUUUUCUGCCCUAUGUUUCUGUCUCUGUGGAGGUUCUUUCCGUUCUUUCCGUUCUUUCCAUUCUUUCUGCAGUUGUUUUUGAACUGUCACCUAAUUUUUUGCCCUAUGUUUCUGUCUCUGUAAAGGUUCUUUCCGUUCUUUCCGUUCUUUCCGUUCUUUCCGUUGUUGUUCCUGACCUGUCCCCUAAUUUUCUGCCCUAUGUUUCUGUCUCUGUGGAGGUUCUUUCCGUUCUUUCCGUUCUUUCCGUUCUUUCCGUUCUUUUUGUUGUUUUUGAACUGUCACCUAAUUUUCUGCCCUAUGUUUCUGUCUCUGUGGAGGUUCUUACCGUUCUUUCCGUUCUGUCCGUUCUUUCCGUUGUUGUUUUUGAACUGUCACCUAAUUUUCUGCCCUAUGUUUCUGUCUCUGUGGAGGUUCUUUCCGUUCUUUCCGUUCUUUCUGUUGUUGUUUUUGAACUGUCACCUAAUUUUCUGCCCUAUGUUUCUGUCUCUGUGGAGGUUCUUUCCGUUCUUUCCGUUCUUUCUGUUGUAGUUUUUGAACUGUCACCUAAUUUUCUGCCCUAUGUUUCUGUCUCUGUGGAGGUUCUUUCCGUUCUUUCCGUUGUUUCCGUUGUUGGUCUUGACCUGUCACCUAAUUUUCUGCCCUAUGUUUCUGUCUCUGUGGAGGUUCUUUCCGUUCUUUCCGUUCUUUCCUUUGUUUUUUUUGAACUGUCACCCACUUUUCUGCUCUAUGUUUCUGUCUCUGUGGAGGUACUUUCCGUUCUUUCCGUUCUUUCCGUUCUUUCCAUUCUUUCCGUUGUUGGUCUUGACCUGUCACCUAAUUUUCUGCCCUAUGUUUCUGUCUCUGUGGAGGUUCUUUCCGUUCUUUCCUUUCUUUCCGUUGUUUCCGUUGUUGGUCAUGACCUUUCACCUAAUUUUCUGCCCUAUGUUUCUGUCUCUGUGGAGGUUCUUUCCGUUCUUUCCGUUCUUUCUGUUGUUGUUUUUGAACUGUCACCUAAUUUUCUGCCCUAUGUUUCUGUCUCUGUGGAGGUUCUUUCCGUUCUUUCUGUUGUUGGUCAUGACCUGUCACCUAGUUUUCUGCCAUAUGUUUCUGUCUCUGUGGAGGUUGUUUCCGUUGUUUGUUUCCGUUGUUUGUUUCCGUUGUUUGUUUCCGUUGUUUGUUUCCGUUGUUUGUUUCCGUUGUUUGUU